GGGCCAGUAGCUUAGCUUGGUAGAGCACCAGGAUUGGUGGAACCAUUCGUGCAAGUCUUAUAUGACGGCUAAGCAAAAACUGUCGAGGCAAACUGGAGGUCGAGAGUUCAAAUCUCUCCUGGCCCA
RNAcentral lists this transfer RNA (126 nucleotides) under Candidatus Aenigmatarchaeota archaeon. RNAcentral's name for it is "tRNA-OTHER". It matches the Rfam family "tRNA". From Rfam's summary of the family: Transfer RNA (tRNA) molecules are approximately 80 nucleotides in length. Their secondary structure includes four short double-helical elements and three loops (D, anti-codon, and T loops). The record is from RNAcentral. Lineage: Archaea; Nanobdellati; Candidatus Aenigmatarchaeota.